GAUGAACGCUGGCGGCGUGCCUAAUACAUGCAAGUCGAGCGCGACUGAUUACACCGUCCUUCUGGACACCGUAAUCAUCGAGCGGCGGACGGGUGAGUAACACGUGGGCAACCUACCCUUAAGACUGGGAUAACCGCGGGAAACCGUGGCUAAUACCAGAUAAUACUUUUAUACAACAGUAAAGAAGUUGAAAGAUGGAUUUCUAUCACUUAAGGAUGGGCCUGCGGCGCAUUAGCUAGUUGGUAAGGUAACGGCUUACCAAGGCGACGAUGCGUAGCCGACCUGAGAGGGUGAUCGGCCACACUGGAACUGAGACACGGUCCAGACUCCUACGGGAGGCAGCAGUAGGGAAUCUUCCGCAAUGGACGCAAGUCUGACGGAGCAACGCCGCGUGAGUGAUGAAGGUUUUCGGAUCGUAAAGCUCUGUUGCCAGGGACGAACGGCCAGGAGAGUAACUGCUC
RNAcentral lists this ribosomal RNA (461 nucleotides) under uncultured bacterium. RNAcentral describes it as "bacterial SSU rRNA". It matches the Rfam family "Bacterial small subunit ribosomal RNA", at positions 28 to 469 of the family's 1533-position model. The record is from RNAcentral.